RNAcentral lists this ribosomal RNA (401 nucleotides) under uncultured bacterium. RNAcentral describes it as "bacterial SSU rRNA". It matches the Rfam family "Bacterial small subunit ribosomal RNA", at positions 975 to 1375 of the family's 1533-position model. The record is from RNAcentral.
CAGGUCUUGACAUCCUCUGACAACCCUAGGGAUAGGGCGUUCCCCUUCGGGGGACAGAGUGACAGGUGGUGCAUGGUUGUCGUCAGCUCGUGUCGUGAGAUGUUGGGUUAAGUCCCGCAACGAGCGCAACCCUUGAUCUUAGUUGCCAGCAUUCAGUUGGGCACUCUAAGGUGACUGCCGGUGACAAACCGGAGGAAGGUGGGGAUGACGUCAAAUCAUCAUGCCCCUUAUGACCUGGGCUACACACGUGCUACAAUGGAUGGAACAAAGGGUCGCGAAGCCGCGAGGUGAAGCCAAUCCCAUAAAUCCAUUCUCAGUUCGGAUUGCAGGCUGCAACUCGCCUGCAUGAAGCCGGAAUCGCUAGUAAUCGCGGAUCAGCAUGCCGCGGUGAAUACGUUCCC